This is a non-coding RNA of Cavia porcellus (domestic guinea pig), 96 nucleotides long. Lineage: Eukaryota; Metazoa; Chordata; Mammalia; Rodentia; Caviidae. The record is from Rfam.
UUUAUCUUGACAGUAAAUAUACCACAAUUGGAACAAUACAGAAUAGAUUAGAAUAGCCCUUGUGACAUGAAAAUUUGUGAAGCAUUCAGUAUUUUC